UUUGUUGGUAAUUAUUUUUAAAAUAUAAACCAAAAGUUAUUAUUAUGAAUAAAAUCAGGUUAUGUUUUUAUCCUAUUUUAGUUUGUCCAGCAGGAUCACCUUUGACCUCUUCAUGCUGAACUGGUCUCUUGUGGUCUUUGAGCUGCUGUGACGUCUGUCAAUAUUUGAACUGUGGUCAACGAUCAGCUGGAGUCCAUUUUACCUCUGACAUCAACCGUCUGUCCUCACAGGAGACCGUUAGAGACAACAAGAGACAGAUAGACAGACAUGCUGCUGGUCUGGACUCUCACUCUGCUCACCUGCUCUGAACUGAUCCAAUGUACAGUGAUCCUGGACCGGUCCUCGGCGGUUCAGGUCCUGUUCUCGUCCUCCAGGAGGAGACGAGCCAACUCCUUCCUGGAGGAGGUGUUACCUGGAGACCUGGAGAGGGAGUGUCAGGAGGAGGUCUGCUCUCAGGAGGAGGCCGCCGAGAUCUUUCAGACCAGAGAGAAGACGCUGGAGUUCUGGUACAAAUACACAAGUGAGUAUAUUCAUCAUCAAAAUGAUGUAAAAAAACGCUCCUAAUAUUCAGACUGAGGAUCGGUCUUCACUGAACUGAUCCAGAUCCUCAUGUGACCUUGCCGAUCUGGAUUCAUGUGGUCCUGCUGAUCCUUUAUUUAAACCUGAUCUGAUCUUAAGGUACUUUUACAAUAUUUGACAAAACGGUCUCACCACAGGGUCCAGUAGCUGUUAGCAGCUGUUCAGGAGCUUUCAAUCACUCCACAUGAUCUUCAAUCUGCUCAGAGGUAGUCAUGGUGCGUUCGAGUGUCUCUGCUCUGUGUCGUAGAUCUGAACCAGGUAGUCAUGGUGCGUUCGAGUGUCUCUGCUCUGUGUCGUAGAUCUGAACCCUUGUAGGACCAGCCCCUGUCUGAAUGGAGGAUUGUGCUCUCUGGACGAAGGAGACUUCUUGUGUCUUUGUCCUCCUCAGUUCCACGGAAAGACGUGCGACUCAGCGGUGGUGGAGUGUCACUAUAGAAACGGCGGCUGCAUGCAGUACUGCAGAGAUCAGCGGGGGGGCGCUGGAGUCCAGUGUGGCUGCGCUGAUGGAUUCAGACUGGAGGAGGACGGACAAAGCUGCUCCAAGACAGGUAACACUCAUAGAACCCAGGUUAUAACAGUUACUGCCUCACAGGGUGUAGUGUACCUCACGGUAAGUAGUGUACCUCACAGUGUUUAGUAUACCUCACGGUGUUUACUAUACCUCACGGUGUUUAGUGUACCCCACGGUGUUUAGUAUACCUCACGGUGUUUAGUGUACCUCGCUGUGUUUAGUGUACCUCGCUGUGUUUAGUGUACCUCGCGGUGUUUAGUGUACCUCGCGGUGUUUAGUAUUCCUCACUGUGUUUACUGUACCUCGCGGUGUUUACUGUACCUCGCGGUGUUUAGUGUACCUUGCGGUGUUUACUGUACCUCGGGGUGUUUACUGUACCUCGCGGUGUGUAGUAACCUCACUGUGUGUAGUAACCUCACUGUAUGUAGUAACCUCACUGUGUUUAGUAACCUCACGGUGUUGAGUAAGCUCACGGUGUUUAGUGUACUGUUGCGUUAACUCUCUUCAGCAAAUACCCCCGGUGGGCUUUUCUAUCAAGUUAUCAGAUGUCAAGUAUGACACGAGAGCCUCGGCCGGUCUGUUUUAGGCCUCUCGUCUUCAGUAGACGAUCUAGUUACACCAGGAUAUUGCCGCCUCCCGCCCCCUAGAUUCCUUACUACGGUUCAUCAAUGUUGGGCAACGAUUUCAAGGAGGAUUUUUUGUUCAGGGGUCCGGUUAACGUAGGUUCACUUCGCCGAGUCAAGUAGACGAUUUAACUACUCUGAGGCAGGUAGUACCUGUGGGUGGACUUCCCCACUUUGAACAGCCUUGUUAUUUUAUUUUAUAUCGUUUUAAUGUCUAUCACCAGUCUCAAGUUUUAUCGGAAGAAUACACAGUCACCUUCACGUCACAGGAAGAUGCCCCGUCUUAAAGCUGUGUCAGCGGGGGGUUCACUCGGAGCACAAAAAUGUAGUCAAAGACAAAGGUUGGAUUUCUCUAUUUCCCUUGAGUGGGGAUAUCAGAGUAGUUUUAUUUCCUUUACAGGCUUAUACAACAAUCAAGCAAGUGAGCAAGCAGAUAUAUUUAUGUACUGUCCCGAAGGUUACGCUAUUAUGUCAUGUUCCGUAGGUUUAUGCUAUGAGUUCAUGUCCCGUCUAAUGAUUAUAAUGUUCUAUGAGUUCAUGUCCCGUCUAAUGAUUAGAAUGUUUAAUAUUUCAGCUAAGGAUUAUUAUGCUAAAUGCUCCAUGUCCAGAGUGUAUAUUUCUCUCUGUGAGGAGCGUAAAUCUAAGUGUUGACCUGUAUAGGGGUCCCUUGUAAAAGAGAGCCAGCUGAGUUGUCUCUGUGAGACAGCGCCGGCUGUGUGCUAAGUGUUGCUGCUACUGAGCGAAGACUGACUGUUCUCUUCUGAAGAGCGAAAACUGAGUUUUCUCUGAGAAGAGACAAAAAACAAGUUUCCUGCGGGUUGUCUCUGUGAGAGCGCAAACUGAGUGUUAAGUGUCCCUGUUAAAGAGCGGAGAAGAAGCAUCAGAGUGAGACCAGAGUCUUCAGUAUUUAUGGGUUCUAUUCUCCCUCCCACAUGAUAUGACAGUUAGGUUGUGACAGUUGUUGGGACGUUCUAUUUCUGAUUUCAGGAAGAGGCCCUGUGUGUACGUUAUGCCCUUCUUAGGUCUUUUUUGUUUAUGCUAACGGGAAGCAGCCAGCAGCAUACAUUUUGUCCUAGUUCAGUCUUUAUGUCUCUGAUCUGUGUGUGUGCUAAGUAUUAAUGCAUGUAUAUUUGCAAGCGAGCACAAUAUGAUAAUGUGUUUACAAUUUGUAUACGUUUUUCUCAACAGUACCUCACGGUGUUUAGUGUACCUUACGGUGUUUAGUGUACCUCACGGUGUUUAGCGUACCUCACUGUGUGUAGCGUACCUCACUGCGUGUAGCGUACCUCGCGGUGUUUAGUAUUCCU
Molecule: RNA transcript, 3020 nt
Organism: Anarrhichthys ocellatus (wolf-eel)
Lineage: Eukaryota; Metazoa; Chordata; Actinopteri; Perciformes; Anarhichadidae
Gene name: coagulation factor X-like
Exons: 5
Source: RefSeq, a predicted model, not a curated record